Long non-coding RNA from Oncorhynchus tshawytscha (Chinook salmon), 689 nucleotides. NCBI's taxonomy places the organism in Eukaryota, Metazoa, Chordata, Actinopteri, Salmoniformes, Salmonidae. The record is from Ensembl.
GGACUAUCAUCUACACUCUGCCUGGACUAACAUCUACACUCUGCCUGACUAACAUCUACACUCUGCCUGGACUAACAUCUACACUCUGCCUGGAAUAACAUCUUCACUCUACCUGGACUAACAUCUACACUCUGCCUGGACUAACAUCUACACUCUGCCUGGAAUAACUAACAUCUAUACUCUGCCUGGAAUAACAUCUUCACUCUACCUGGACUAACAUCUACACUCUGCCUGGACUAACAUCUACACUCUGCCUGGACUAACAUCUACACUCUGCCUGGACUAACUAAUAUCUACACUCUGCCUGGACUAAUGUGUGUAAGUGACUAGAGGAGUGAUGGAUCACUUAAAGAUGCACUCCAGUGAUUGUGUUACUUUAUCACACAGAUACAGUAAAGGUUUAAAACAAAUCUUCAUGGAGUAGGCCAUUCGAGGAUGCGGUCUGAUGGUGCCCUCUGAUGUCAUCGGCCUCCCCCCUUGCUUGUGAAAACAAUAGAGGAACCCCCCCACUGGUGCCAUGUCAGAGGAUACCUCGACCACCUAUUGAGAUGGACAUAUAGUCUCCCUAACUGACUCCCACAGAGACAGAUAUGUAGAGACUUUGAUGGAAACCUGGAGUGGCUGAGGUUCGGAACUUCGGGAGCAGUGGAGAGGUCAGGGGGAGCGUCCCAGGAACGGCACAGGGGAGG